RNAcentral lists this ribosomal RNA (402 nucleotides) under uncultured Rhodoplanes sp. Its description in RNAcentral is "bacterial SSU rRNA". It matches the Rfam family "Bacterial small subunit ribosomal RNA", at positions 355 to 774 of the family's 1533-position model. The record is from RNAcentral. Lineage: Bacteria; Pseudomonadati; Pseudomonadota; Alphaproteobacteria; Hyphomicrobiales; Nitrobacteraceae.
UGGGGAAUAUUGGACAAUGGGCGCAAGCCUGAUCCAGCCAUGCCGCGUGGAUGAUGAAGGCCCUAGGGUUGUAAAGUCCUUUCAGCGGGGAAGAUAAUGACGGUACCCGCAGAAGAAGCCCCGGCUAACUUCGUGCCAGCAGCCGCGGUAAUACGAAGGGGGCUAGCGUUGCUCGGAAUUACUGGGCGUAAAGCGCACGUAGGCGGAUCCUUAAGUCGGUGGUGAAAUCCUGGAGCUUAACUCCAGAACUGCCUUCGAUACUGGGGACCUUGAGUUCGGGAGAGGUGAGUGGAACUGCGAGUGUAGAGGUGAAAUUCGUAGAUAUUCGCAAGAACACCAGUGGCGAAGGCGGCUCACUGGCCCGAUACUGACGCUGAGGUGCGAAAGCGUGGGGAGCAAACA